Molecule: ribosomal RNA, 253 nt
Filed under: uncultured bacterium
Lineage: Bacteria
Description: partial 16S ribosomal RNA
Rfam family: Bacterial small subunit ribosomal RNA
Source: RNAcentral
UACGUAGGUGGCAAGCGUUGUCCGGAAUGACUGGGCGUAAAGGGCGUGUAGGUGGAUUGAUCAGUCGGAUGUGAAAUACCUGGGCUUAACCUGGGAACUGCAUUCGAUACGGUCAGUCUUGAGUGCAGGAGAGGGCAGUGGAAUUCCCAGUGUAGCGGUGAAAUGCGUAGAGAUUGGGAGGAACACCAGUGGCGAAGGCGGCUGCCUGGACUGUAACUGACACUGAGGCGCGAAAGCGUGGGGAGCAAACAGG